UGGUCGCUGCUGCUGCCUGCGAGCUGAACGAAGCAUCGGCUCCAGCACGGCGUGGUUCUUCUCCAGAAGAGUGGCCGGGUGAUGGAAUGGGCUGCCCAGGGAAGGGGAGUCACCGACCCUGGAAGUGUUCAGGAAACGUUUAGGUGUUGUACUGAGGGACGUGGGUUAGUGGGAAAUACUGGUGGUAGAUGGACUGGAUGAUCUCGGAGGUCUUUUCCAACCCUGGUGAUUCUAUGACUCUAAGGGGAAUGAAGGAAAUUGGGCUGCAGGUGGGGAUAAGCUGACAUACACCAGUAGCCUUCCUUUGGGAAGGCAGCAGGUGGUGAGAACAGCCUUGGUCUCAGUCUUCUAAAUGCCUUCGUGGGCUUGGGCCCUGAAUCCUGCCAGCACCCAAGCCUGGCAGCUGAGAUCCCACAGUCCCUCAGGUUACACCUGAGCAGCAGUUUGGUUCCAGCCCCACACGGGGCUCCAGCUUGCACCUGAGCUCUGCCAAAAGAGCACGUGGCAGCUGCUGGCUGUGCCCAAGGGCUGAUGGCCUGGGGGGGCACCUCCUCCUCAGUAACAGCAGGUGAAGCAGGCACUGGGAUACUGAGGAAUCUCAUUUUAAAACUCCCACCUGCUGAUGAGCACCUGAGCCCUCUCCCUGUGCACCUCUCAACACCAGCAACUGGAUCUUCGUGCUCUCUCCUUGCUUGUGUUUUCACAGGAAGUCUUAAUGUUCAACCUCAUGUUCUCACAUCUCCAUAUUCCUCCUUCAGACAGACUGCGAGGAAGGCAAUCUGCUCGUGAAGGGCUACUUAAGCUCUCUUUUGCAUACCAGUAACCACUAAGCACUUCAGACAAAGUGCCAUUGCUUUGAUAGUGAGGAGGAGGAAGCCCUGGGCGGAGGCCAGGGCAGAAGGAGUCCCUGAGAGCAGCAGGUUCAGACCUCCGUGGGCUGAGCAGCCUUGCACAGGUGCCCCCUACUCUGAAGGGAAAGCUAGCCAUUAAGCAGCUCAGUGCUGCAAUGCGUCCCUGAGGUUUUCCCUCGUGGCCACCUGGAAGCACCCGACUCCAGCAGGUCCCUAUGGAGUCCACCUCUUUGCAAGCCUGAAAUGUUUCCUCAGCCACCUGCGCCCACACUCAGUUCUCUCCAUCAUCAAGGGUGUGUGGUGAAUGUUAGAGGGCAACAGGAGCUCUGAAAGCAGCAGCUCUCAGCAAACACACUGCCCUUAUCCACCUCACCCUUGGCAAUUGUCCCCCAGACAAUCUCUGGGUGUGCCCACACAGCCUCAGCGCCGCUCUGCAGAGCCUCAGCUUGGUGCCGGCUCCACCAGCUGGUUCUGCUGAACCUGCCACCGCUUUGCCGUGCCCACAUCAAACCCACGCUGGGGCAGCGUCAGGACAGGGGCUCUCCUGUCUGCCUCCCUCCUCUGCUGCAGGGCUCCUGACGCAGACCUGCCUGUUUCUCUGGUCUCUGUCUCACCACGGGGCUGACUGAGCGCAAGGCCUGGCAGGAGGGUUAGGCUGACAGCAGACCUCCCGCUGCCAGGGGAUCCUGGGGAAGGUGGAACCCCUGGGCACCUCAUACUUACAGGGGGAUGAGAGACUACAAAAAGCCUUUCUACGGAGAGGGGUGAUGAGCACGCAGGAUGGGUAGCCUGGUGGUUGCCAUGUCCUGCACAACACCAGGCAGCCCUAAAAGUAGAGCCCUAUCUCCCAGCACCUUGUGCUGAGCAGUCCCACAGCCACCCCUCAGCCCCCGGCAGCUGCACAGGCUCUCCAGGCACCGUGGCAGAGGUGGGCAGCAGCCCUGGGGCUUGUUGCAAUCAUUAGCUGAAAGAAGCGCUUUUACCAUUUUCACGUGCAGAUCCAUAGGACACGGUGGCAGAGAUGACAAAAAGCUCACACCAGGCUCUGCGCAAAAGCUAUGCUGAAAACAUCCAAAAAUUCACCACCACCACCCAGAGCACCCAGCACUGCGAGGAUGCUCAGCCUUUGGGACACAUUACCCGCCUCUGGCAGGUGCCAGCUCCACCCCUCCCCAGGGCACCGCAGCCAGCUGAGCUGUGCCCGUAUGGCUGUCUGGCAGAGGCUCCUCCUGCUCUGCUGGUGGGAUUCAGGCAGGGGCACAGGGCUGUGCUGAGCCCAGCCAGCACACGUUUUACACAGUGCAGAAGGAAGGCAGGCCCAGGCAAUGGCAGGGGGAGCCCAAGUCUGUGAGCCUGGGCUGAUGCACUUAGUUUGUAGGCUUUCUUGAUUUGGGCAAUGAGUCCAUUUCAUAGCAAAGCCACUCAGACAUCAAGCUGCCUACCUAGGAAGGGGCUGUGUGAGGUUAAGACACCAUUGCUCUUCCUUCUGCUCUUGUCACUGAAGGCUGCAGGUCCCACCCGUCUCUGCUGCCAGCGAGGCUGGUGUGACUGGGCCCAUGACUGGGCCAGUGCCGGUGAUCCUGGACUGCUGGCAUCCCAGGAGCAGCCCCUGAUGGCUGUGCUCGAGGCACACUGCCUUUUCCCAGUGCCUCCAGAACAGCGAUCACCUGCAGAGCACCAACAGCACACAGCGUGUGAGCAGCGCAAGUCUGGAGCACCAGCCCCGUGCUCCCAGCUCCUUCCUGGGCUGCGGAACGGAGGGAAGAUCCAGAAAUUCCCCCAAUUCAAACGUAACAGUGCCCCAGCCGGCCAGCUCUGCCCCCUCACACCUCCAGCACCAGGACAGGCUGUGCAGGGCCAGCACGUGUGCAGCCACCUCCCGCACACUGCCUGCAGUGCCACGGCCACUGGAUUAGGGAUAUUAGUGGUACAUCCCCGCCUUAUCCUCUAAGUAGCCAUGUGUGCAGCUACUGCCCAUGAACUUGCCUAAUCCCUUUUUGACCCUGAAAGGUUCCCAAAGAUCACCGCUCCCAUGUGUUUUCCUAUACCUGCUUCCAUCUGUUCUCUCCCUACUUUAACCAAAUGCUCCAUCGGUGCUGCCUGAGCUGUAAGAACAACAGCAAUAGCCCACAGCCUGGUUUUCAAGCGCUGGCAUCAUGCUCAUUCCCAAACAUUACUCAUGAGUGCUGACAUCCAGGCUGGAACUGCAGCUCCAGGCAGGCAUGGCCGCGCUUUUUCACACACACAAAAAGACCAGGGACAACCAUGGAGAUCGUAUUUAUUAUUAUAACAGAGGAUAGGCUGCUUUACUGAUUCGUAUUUACAAAUCUGUCAGCAAAGAAAGUAAUAUCCAGUGUAAUUUAUUAGCCUAUUUUACAGCCCUGGCAAGAAGCAUUUAUUUGUAAUAGCAGCAAAUGCCUAUGCUCUGAUUGCCUGCUACAGCUAAGUGCAAGGGAUAGCAUGGAUGGCCGGGGUGGCAGCUGGCUGCAGGCACUGCAUCUGCAGCCCAGAGAAGGGGCAGGCAGAGGCAGCUGGCCCAGCCCUUGUGGGGCCGGGAUGCAUACCCUGAGCCUGAAAUUUUGGCAAAACACAGCAGAGCUGGUAACUGUCUGCCUGCAUUGCUGGGAAUGUGGCCGCACAUCCGGAGCAUGAGGAGGCUGGCAAUUCUGAGGCCAAAUAGAGCUGAACUGCUUGCAAGCACUGUGAGGGAUGAGCAUGUAAAGCAGAUCCUCACACAGCUGUGGUGUUUGCAGGCCCAGGCCUGACAAGGGAACAAGGUUUCCUGGAUCACAGAAGCACGGGGCACAAGGGGGACCACGACCCUUGGCUAACAUGAGCACAAACUGAACUGCCACUGCAGAGGUCUCUGAGCAGAGCUGUGCCCUGGAAACCCCACUCAGAGAGGUUCAAAUAGGCUCAGGGAAUUCUCUGUACAUGGUACCUCGUGCCCAAAUCCUUGGCUCAGACUCAGACAUCAACGUGAAACCUCCCUGCUGGGCUCCCCACUCAGCUCUGCAACCUAGGGGGGCUCCCAGGUCCCUGCAUGAAAGGAAGGGGUUGCAGAAAUGCAAAUGCAACCAUGGAUGCUACCAGCAGAUGUAGCAUUGCACGAACACCACCAGCACACAGCUUUUGCAGCAGACCUGCCUCCAUCAGGGAAAACACUUCAGAGGAAAAGGAGAAUUCCAGAAGGUCACAGAAUUAGAAAUUGCUGUUUGUUAAUAAGUAUGCAACGGUAUCUGGAGGCUAAUCUAUGUGCUGCCGCUGAAGGAUGGUGCCCCUGCUGUGCCUCACUUCUUGCUGGCACACAGAACGUUGCAGGGGUUCAACUGCAGCAGAGAGGACACCGAGCUGCCCGCCUGCACUGCCCCAUGCAGGCUCCACCACACUGCAGCUGCUCAGACUGCUUCCACUCUUCCCUUCUCUCCCUUUACCUUCUUAAGUCCUCUGCAACUCCAGUAGGAGUUUGGUGGGGACAACACAGCUGCCACAGCUGACUCCCAGCAGAAUCAGCGUUUCACAGUACUGCUGGCUCUGUGUGGAAGGGCAUCUCAGCACAGGGGCAAUUCUCACCUAUGGUGGUCUCCCCCCUCCCUUCUUUAGACCUGGCUGAACAUGGAGGGGGGCAGAGCAGUCUGGUGCUCAGAAAAGGUGCUGUGGGUGCUCUGAGCACCUCUGGUGUUAUCUCAGCUGCUCUUCAGGAAAACUGGCACUGGCUUGUGCAGCAUGUGCAGUGAGGGCUGGCAGAAAGGAGCUGUGAAGCCAUUAGGGGUUACCUUCCCAGAGGACAUAGCCCACACUGGGGGAUACCAAGGAGGUUAUUGAAUGUCCCUCUUGUCCCCAAGCCCCACAGUGUGAGUGCUGCUGGUUUAGCUCAGCACUGGGCUGGCCCCAAGGCUGACCUCAUGCUGCUGUGCAGCUCUGAAGCUGCCUCAAGGAGAGGGUGAGGAUCUCCCAGGAUCUGUCUGGCCACCUGGCAGCAGCAGCUCAGGCAUCUCCUCUCCCAGGGCUGCAACAUGCUUCCACUGACCUUGGCAGCCCAAGGAAUGCCUCUGCCUCAGCGAAUCCCCCGCACCUUCACAUCCCUCUACCAACAGCACUGUGGGGUGCCGGUGCCAGAACAACCCUCACACUUUCAAACAAGUCUGCAGAGGCGGACUAGGCUGGCUCCAUGGCAGUGGAGUUAUCCCCAGAGAGGCAGUGUUUCCACGAGGACCAGAGGGAAACACUCAUGUUACAACGCAGGAGUAACGUCCUCAUACCUGAGGCCAACUCUGCCUUCAGAAGGGAGAUGGAGAGUCUCAGUGUCCCAGGGUGCAGUGUCUCAUGGAUGUCACAGCUCCUUCAGUGAGCAGCCGGUCCUGCAGCUCCAAGGAGGAGGCCGUUCCCCCUCUGACACACACAAGAAGGCCAAGAACCGCCGCAUCUGGGCUGGCACGUCCAAGGACUACCAGGUCCUACUGCUGAACAGCCCAAGCCUUCCAGGAUUGUCUAGUCCUUGUCUUUGAGGUCUUAAGUUGGGAGAUGUUUGGGGGCUAACCCAGGGUGUGAUAACAGCAAGGACAAUAGAAGAAGUAAAAGUGGAGGGGAGAAGACUUCAGGCACCCAACAGCUCCCCAGAGCAACGUCCUGGACCCCAGGGCCAGCGCCUCAGACCAGCCCUUUGAUGAAGCUUGUGUCUAAGUGCACUAUCAGCAUGCGGAGGAAGGACAUUUCCUUGCGCGUAUUCUCAAAGAUAAUGCGAGGGUCGUCGGACUGACAGCGCAGGCAGUUGGGGGCCAUCACCAUGGCCAGGUUGUUCACAUCCAUCUUUGUCCUGCCCACAUUUGACGGCUGAGCAAAGAUCUGCAGGAAGUGUAUGAGGUAACACAGCACCAGUUUGUUGAGCUCUGGCAAAAGCUGCACCACGGCCACAGCGGCGUCAGGGUUCUCAUAGUUGCUGAUACACUCUUUGUAGAACUCCUGGGGGAUCACGGGCUCCUCCAGCUCCCGAUACCAUAGCUUGAGGAGAGAGGCUGGGCAGAAAGCAGGGUGCAUGAGAACAGCUCUGGUUACCUUCCCACCACGUUCAUAGCCGAACUAGACAGGCAGAUGGAACGCCUCAGGAACCAGAAGGCAGAUAAAGGAUUCUGAACUUGUGCUGCUUCACUUUAGAGGGCAACUCAGAGAUGCUGGCAGCAAAACCGCUGCUGCUGCCCGGCUCCCAGCUGCCCUGCACGCUGCCUGGCUCGUGCAGCCUCACUCCGACGGAUCCUCCACCACCCCCCGUGCUUUCCCAUGGACAGCACUUGGAAUAGCAGCAGAAAGGCACAGAACAAAAAGCCAGUUGGUGAAGACAGCUCGCAGAGUACAGUGGUGUGUAUGUGUCCCCAAACAGCAGCAUGCAUCCCGGGCUGCUCCUACACCUUCUCCUCUGCCCUGUACCAUGGCUGGGGCUGCACAUGCGUGCAGCAUCCCCUUACCUGGGAUGUUGGGGUCACUGAGGCCACUUGGGAUUCUCCACUGAUCCACCUGCAACUUCAAUGCAUUGACUUCAUCUAUGUCACCGGGUAUCCUGCAAGCAAAGGCACAGCAAAAACGCUUCAGAAGGCAAAUGGUGCUUGGCAACGUUCCUGGCAUGGUGGCUGGCCAGCAAACUGAGCCUCCAAAAGUGCAAAGGGAGCACACACCAGCAGCAGCUACAGAAGCAGCCCGUCAGAAAGAAUGCUUUUAGACACAGCUUUAAAUUGCAGGUAGAAGAAUCACCUGUCUCCUUCCCACUAGCUCAGACACGGGCUGUAACUGGCCCCCCAGCAGCACAUUCAGCCCAGGGAUAAAAGCAUCUCUGGCUAAAUAUACCAAGAUAUCAGAAACUACUGCAAGGCAAAGUUGAGUCUUUUGUGAGUUACCAUAAAUUAAAUUUAGUAACUGAAAAAUAAAUGCAAGUCUUAAAACAACCAAACUCAGGGCCCUGUGUUCAUCAUACAGAUCCCCUGUCUCUCUGGAAUGCUCAUGUGCUCACCCACAGCACAACAUCCUGAGUGUGCAUCAUCAAGGCUGAAGUGCUGCAUUUGAUGAACGGCUUUUAUCUGACAGUUUCUGUCAUCCUUUUAUAAUUGCUUUCAGUCACUGGAGAGUACUGAUUGGCUCUGGUCUGCCUUUCAGCAUGACCUGCUCAGGGAAAUCCCACAUGUGGUAAUUAUCUGCAACUUCUCAAGUGUUAAUUACCCACUGAAAGCAGGAGAAAAGCAGCAAACCUACAAGUAGGGCACUGUAUUAAGGUCAAUGCAAGCUACUCUCUAGAAAAGCCCCAUUCUGCAGCCUGCCUCCUGCGAGGGACGCUGCAGUCACAGCAGUGCGGUGCUGCGCUGUGCUUUGGCCCCUGUCUGGUGCUGUCCUUCCCGGUCAGUUCAGACUUCCACCUUCCAGGCAACCCCUUCCUCCCCAGGGAGCACACCCAGCACCACAGGAACACACGGGGCUCACGGGGGAACAGACCUCCUCCAGGAGAGGCGUGGGAAGCUCACACACCACGGCUGCAGAUGCAGCUCCGCCAGCAGCCCCAGCUCGUCCCCUCCCUGCACUGGCUGCUACUGCUGUUUAAGUUGACAGAAAUUCAGUGCUGUGCUGUCACAAGCUCAGAUCACACCCAGGGUCUCCCUUGUGACAGUGCAUACAAGCGGACUGAUGCUGCUUGACCACCCCGAGCCUGGGAAAGUUUGCUGCUGCCUGCUUGGCAGCGCGCUCUCCUCAGGGAAGGGGAACCCCGCGGGGGCCAAUCGUCAUUUCUCAGCUUUCAGGACUGGUGCGGGGGUGGAUCAAAAGCGACACGGAGCCCCACAAGCUCACCUGAAGAUCCCUUCCGUCUGUUCUCCUCCCAGCGCCAGCACCUGCUGCGAGAGCUGCGUCUGCACCCAGGGCAGCCUGUGGCCCGGGUACAUGUCCUGCUGCCGCAGCAUGAUCUCCUCCAGAGAGCUGCCAAACAGCGACGGCGUCACGAUGGCGUUCCGGGCGUGUGUGAUCUCCUCCACUGUAGGCUUGCGGAGGCCCUGGGGACAGAGGAGAGCUGAGCACAGCCGCGGGCCGAGGGCCGCUCGUGUGUGCGCCACCUCUGGGAGCGCCCCCAGCAGCCCUGGCUCUGCACGUGCUAUAAUGGGACGGGAGUCAACGCGUUCAGCUCAAAACGAGCAAAAAGGUGCUGCCUGCUAGCGGGGGGCGGCUUUGGAGAGUUUGGGGUGGUGGUGUACGGGUUUGCAUGCGGGAGCAAAGCCAGCGCGGCGGGGAGGAGGGCGCAGGGCCCAGGCUGCGGAUGGGCUGCAGCCAGGCCAGCAGAGGGCAUGCGAACACCGGCCCGGCUCCGGAGAGCGCCUGGCCGCAGGACAGCCGGAAAACAGCCCUGCGAGAGGAGAAUUCCAGGUAUGUUCAAGCCCAGGGCCCGACCACCCUCAGAGGUGUUAAAGGGCUCUGAGAAGCGCACACAAGAGAGCAUCCAGAAGCUGUUCCUACUGAAGGACACCUUGGAAGCAGCCGUCGAUGCUCCCCGGGAACUCCCGCUGAGCCCAUGGAGAGCAGAAGCCAUUGGGGCAUAAAUGUGACCGCACAUCUCCUGCUCUGCCCCGCGGGGACAAUGGCAGCGUCACCCCUCCCGAGGCAUCUCCACUGUCUGCUCGCUGUACACGGAGUCCAGAUGGCAAGGACGCCCCCGAGGGAUUUGCAGAAAUAAAAGACAACCGGAUCUGGCUCGGAGACCUGGGAUGGACGGGCUGGGGCUGCAUGCCAGCAUUCACAGCUCCAUGCAGAGGAAAAGGGGGGGGGGGGGGGGGUAUUUCCAGAGCAUGGAGGCCCUGCUCUGCACCAGGCAUCUCUAUUGCGUGACAUCUUGAGCUGGAAAUGGACGACUCUACAGUAAAGCAGCUACAAGAGCAGGCCCACGCAAGCUCUCAGUGUGAAAAUGGAGAUUCCCCAGUGAUGGGCAUCCCCUGCAGACAGCUCCUAUCACCCUGGAGACCGGCAGCCAUCAGCUUUGUCCUCCAGGUCCCCAAGGCUGCCAGCACAGCAACGGCGUGUUCUCCCACACAUCCACGGGGAGAUGAGCCAUGAGCCAUGAGCCAUGAGCCAGCCUCCUCCGCUCUAUCUCCAUUUUCCAUCACUGAAUCAGCAGUGGCCUCUGAGUGUCACAGAGCUGACGCCUCCGGGACCUGGAAAGCAGAGCACUGCAAGGCAGUCUGAGCCCCCGGCGCCGGCACAGCCGCUCACCUUCUUGCCUCCGGUGACGGCCACCUUCUGGAGUUUGCGGUAGCAGUAUUUGGCGUACAUGCUGAUGGGCAGACCUGGCAGGAAGGAGAAAGGAGCCGUCAGCCCGCAGCGCCGUGCAGAGCACCAGCACAGCAGUUUGCACUGACACAAACAUCCACCCCCGUUCCGUGCAGCCUGUUCUGCAGGCAGGGCAGAGGCUGCUGAAACCUCCCAUGGAGCACACCGAGCCCUCCCGGCCCUGGAGCCCCACAGCAGGCAGUGUCGUGCAAGUCGGUGCUUGGGCUCUGGGAUCUGACCUGUGACUCAAGGCUCGCAGCUCUGCGCCUCGCAGCCCUGCACACACACAGUCUGACCCCUGACUCAGCGCCCAGCACGGGCACACAUGUGAGCAUGAGUCCCCAUUCCCCGCUGCACGGCCGGAGCUGCGGGGCUCACAGGCACAGGGCUGGGAAUCCAACUGCCGCUUGAGCUCCACAGCGAGCACGCAGAGCCAGCCUCUUGCCAGGAAAGAUUUCAAGUGUUUUAAACAAAUUGUUUAUGAUUCGAACGCUGGGACAGUGAGAGAGGCGGCGGCGUGCCAGGGCCAGAGAGCUGGCAUCAGCACCGAGCCUGAAUGAAGGCAGCGCGGGGAGGUGCAGGAAUGCACAGGGUUCUCUCUCAGCUUCCCAAGGGCCUGCAGGAAGCUUCCCUCCUCUCCCGGCUGCAGCCUCCUCCAGUGCAGCCUUCAAACAUAAGACUGAGGUGUGCCCUGUGAGGCAAACCUGGGGCACCGGAGCCCGGCAGUGUCACUGUGAGAGCUGUAGCUGCAGAAAGGGCUGUCCUUGUGCUCGGUUCAGCUCCGAGGGCAGCAGAGCCAGGAUUCACAGAGCUAAUCCCCCUGUGACACCAAGAGAAAUAUUUGCACUGACAGAGCAACUGAUUGCUGGGAGAGUUUUUCCAAAACUGUUGGCCUUUUGUUCUUUUCCGAGUCAACCCCAAAUUGCUUGCUGAAAGCACUGAAUAGAUCUGCCCUAUUUGAUUCCCUGCCAGGCUUAAAGCUUGCAACAGAGUUCAAAAUAUUUGUGGCUUUUAAAAUCUACAUUCUGGUCAGAUGCUGCAUGUUUCAGAUCAGCCUUUCAAGAGCUCCAUAGCUUAGGUAAGCUGGUCGGGAUCCUGGAGUUCCUCAAAUGCUCUCGAUGCAGGAAGAGGACAAAAGCUUCCCCAGCGGAGCAACACGUCCCUUUGGGCCGAAGGAGACACACCAGCAUCCUGCAGGCACGUCCAGGCGAAGCUCACUUUCUGCUUUCCCAGAAACUCCAAGGGAAAGGCCUGAACCCCAGCUGGCACUGCCUGCAGUGCGUGCCCUGCUCCAGCCACACUCACACUGCACCCACCAGGCCCUGCAGCCACACCCCUGCCCAUCCCCAUCCCCAUCCCCAUCCCCAUCCCCAUCCCCAUCCCCAUCCCCAUCCCCAUCCCCAUCCCCAUCCCCAUCCUCACUCCCAUCCCCAGCCAAUGGCUGCAGCCAGGACAGGUGGCCUUGGCCUGGCAGGGCUGCCAUGGGGUUAUUCCACUUGUGUGAGCGCAGGGCGGGCCGAUGGAAUCCAGGCUGAGCCGCUAUUUCCUGCAGCCCUGCAGCAGCCCCGCGAGCUCAGGAACAGAAGACUCCUCACAACCCACACAGUGAAAAACAGUUUGCAAAGGAAAACAUUUUCCAUGUGCUGGCCUAAAAACACACGCAGAGAGCGUCUUGAAGAACCUCUCCUUUUAUAACCAGCUAAAACCCAUGCGAGGCACAUGGGGGAACAUACCUUCUGGAGCACAUUCUCCUGCCAAAAAAUGUCUUAAAAACGCAGCAAACAGCGCGGAUUGGGAGCCCAGCCCUGGACACGUACUUUCACACGGCAGAAGCUUUGUGUCUGUGUGCCCAGCACCGCACCCUCACCAGACCCUUCUGCACCUUCAGUUUCACAGCCCUGCAGACCCCGUGCCAGCACCAAACUGGCAGCUCAUUAUCUGUCUCUUUGUACAGCUCAGAGCGAAGGCCGGCAAACAUUCCUGCGGGAUCAGGAGACAAUCGUCCCUGUGAAAGCAGAGCAUUUACUUCUACUCAUUCUUCUGCCUUUCAAUGGGUUACUGAGCCGUGAAAGGAUCUUGUGCCACCUCCAUGCCUCAUCUACCCACAGAGAACGAGGCUGGAAGACGAAGACUGCAUAGCCUGCAGCUUCGGGAACCUCACAGGAAGGCAGAUGGGGCUGAUGGAGCAGACAGAGGAACAGCACGGACAGCCCGGCACCUCCAGCAGGACUGCACUGGCUGAGCUGCAGCUCUUUGGAGUCCUGAGAUCGGACUCCAGAAGGAACCUUCCCAUUGCUGCCAUUUGUGCAACGCCACUCCAAGCGGCUGUCCAGCCCUGCCCUGCGUGCCUCCCGUGCUGCACUUUGCACCCUGUGCCUGUGGGCAGCAGGUCAGUAUCCUAAAACCUCACUGUACUCCCAGAGCGGGUCUUUGUUUGCAACGAAGCGUGCAGAGUCCUGUGAAGGGAGCAGCACAUGGCCUGUCUGUCAUCAGAGCCCCACUGAAGGCCACAAAAGCAUUUCUGAUGUUCUGGUGCUUCUUCCUGCAAACUUAAUAAAGCUUCCUUG
Gallus gallus (chicken) is the source of this 11710-nucleotide long non-coding RNA. RefSeq lists it as uncharacterized. Lineage: Eukaryota; Metazoa; Chordata; Aves; Galliformes; Phasianidae. The record is from RefSeq and is a predicted model, not a curated record. The transcript is spliced from 3 exons.